UGAAGCCUUUCGGGGUGGAUUAGUGGCGAACGGGUGAGUAACACGUGGGCAAUCUGCCCUGUACUUUGGGAUAAGCCCUGGAAACGGGGUCUAAUACCGGAUAGGACUGCGCAUCGCAUGGUGUGUGGUGGAAAGCUCCGGCGGUACAGGAUGAGCCCGCGGCCUAUCAGCUUGUUGGUGGGGUGAUGGCCUACCAAGGCGACGACGGGUAGCCGGCCUGAGAGGGCGACCGGCCACACUGGGACUGAGACACGGCCCAGACUCCUACGGGAGGCAGCAGUGGGGAAUAUUGCACAAUGGGCGCAAGCCUGAUGCAGCGACGCCGCGUGAGGGAUGACGGCCUUCGGGUUGUAAACCUCUUUCGACAGGGACGAAGGGCGACUGACGGUACCUGUAGAAGAAGCACCGGCUAACUACGUGCCAGCAGCCGCGGUAAUACGUAGGGUGCGAGCGUUGUCCGGAAUUAUUGGGCGUAAAGAGCUCGUAGGCGGUUUGUCGCGUCGGCCGUGAAAACUGGAGGCUUAACCUUCAGCUUGCGGUCGAUACGGGCAGACUUGAGUUCGGUAGGGGAGACUGGAAUUCCUGGUGUAGCGGUGAAAUGCGCAGAUAUCAGGAGGAACACCGGUGGCGAAGGCGGGUCUCUGGGCCGAUACUGACGCUGAGGAGCGAAAGCGUGGGGAGCGAACAGGAUUAGAUACCCUGGUAGUCCACGCUGUAAACGUUGGGCGCUAGGUGUGGGCGACAUCCACGUUGUCCGUGCCGUAGCUAACGCAUUAAG
Molecule: ribosomal RNA, 778 nt
Filed under: bacterium
Lineage: Bacteria
Description: bacterial SSU rRNA
Rfam family: Bacterial small subunit ribosomal RNA
Source: RNAcentral